This is a non-coding RNA of Misgurnus anguillicaudatus (oriental weatherfish), 1286 nucleotides long. The record is from RefSeq and is a predicted model, not a curated record. NCBI's taxonomy places the organism in Eukaryota, Metazoa, Chordata, Actinopteri, Cypriniformes, Cobitidae.
UUUCAGUCAAGAAACGAUAGCAUGGCCAUUGACAAUGCGACUGCAAGAGGAAAGGGGCAUUGUGGUGUUGGAGAUGGCUCAACAAUACACAUGGUUGCAGAGCCUGGCAGUUGCACUCAAGAACAAGAUAGCUGAGGAGGACAAGGGAAAUGAAGGACUUUGCUGUCUCUUAAGAAGAAGAUCGUCAGUGGUGACAGAAGGGUUACAAGUCGUCCUUCAACAAUACAAGACUCCAUUAGGUCUUGAGGCCUCUGUCCUUCUACAUGUUGAAGAAGAAGAUCAAAGUGACCUCAGCAGUCCAGAUACCAGCGAGGAUGAAGAGGAAAACAUAAUUUAGAUAGAAACUGCACAAAGGACUGCGUUUAAGGAAAUGGACUUGGCAUAUAUCUGUGUAGUGUUAGUAUGCUAACUACAUUAUUAUCUGUAUGCAUCCUAUAUUGUUGAAAUGUUCAACCUGUGUCUAGAUUAUCAAGCAUGUUAUUUAGCACGUUGAUGCUCCUUAAAUAUGCACAAACAUCUCAAUAUAGGUGCAACCAUUGUAUGAUAUUAUCAGAUGUAAUAAUUGAACUUAUGUUAUAUUUGGAUAGUGUAUUCAUAAUUUGUGUAUUUAAAGUUGCUAAUGGGCAUUGUUAGCCACAUCACAAACUCACUGUUAAAACACUGCUUAUUGUGCCUUUUUGUGUUUAUGUACUUGCAUUGGUGCAGUAAUAUCGAUGUUAUGCAGUAAGGUCAUUGGUGUGUUUUACAAUGGCUUUGAACAGAGCUCAGUCCAAUCAGAAUAAUCAUUGAUAAUAAAGUAAGUUUUAUAAUGGGUAAGUUGAUAUGAAAUAUUGUAAGCACAUUCAUCAGGAUGACUUUGCUGACCUUGUGACCUUUAUUACCACAUUUAGGCCAAAAUGUGAAAACUCUACUUGAUUGAGUGUAUUAUAGGAUAUAACUGUUGUGCACCAUUGAAGAUAAACAUCAUAAAUUCUUUCUUAAAGAUGGAUAAUUUGUUGGCAAUGUGUCUGUCACUAUCAGUUUGGUUCUUAUAAGCACAUUGUACAUUAAGCACUAUAGUAGCAAAAGAAAAAUACACUAGAUUUGUAUUUUAUGAUUAUACUUAUAUUGUGUAUUACUACAUUUGAUAGAUAACUUUAUUCCCUGUUCUGCUGGUGGUUUUCAAGUGAACUUCACAGUCUAGUGUUAUUAAAUUCAGCCUUAUGGCUUGAUUGACAAAUUUGCAUUUCAUGUAUUUUCACUGCUUUUAUUGUGAAAGACAAAAAAUAAAGUGUUUCUAAACAUGA